This 440-nucleotide ribosomal RNA is filed under the name uncultured bacterium. Its description in RNAcentral is "bacterial SSU rRNA". It matches the Rfam family "Bacterial small subunit ribosomal RNA", at positions 29 to 507 of the family's 1533-position model. The record is from RNAcentral.
AGCGAACGCUGGCGGCAUGCUUAACACAUGCAAGUCGCACGGUUGGGGGCAACUCCGGCAGUGGCGGACGGGUGAGUAACGCGUAGGAAUCUAUCCUUGGGUGGGGGACAACCGUGGGAAACUACGGCUAAUACCGCAUGAUGCCUGAGGGCCAAAGACGAAAGUCGUUUGAGGAGGAGCCUGCGUCUGAUUAGGUAGUUGGUGGGGUAAAGGCCUACCAAGCCCUACGAUCAGUAGCUGGUCUGAGAGGAUGAUCAGCCACAUUGGGACUGAGACACGGCCCAAACUCCUACGGGAGGCAGCAGUGGGGAAUAUUGGACAAUGGGCGCAAGCCUGAUCCAGCAAUGCCGCGUGGGUGAAGAAGGUCUUCGGAUUGUAAAGCCCUUUUGGCGGGGACGAUGAUGACGGUACCCGCAGAAUAAGCUCCGGCUAACUUCGUG